UACGUUAAGUUCAAAGAAUUUUUCAUUUGAGCCAAAAAUAAUAUUUAAAAAAAAAAGGGCCAGGAUGCCUUUGAUGCGAAACCUUAUCCUUGAAGAUAUUUAUAAACCUCGGUUGAAACUCAAAAUCAUUGAAGUUUACCUUACUCCAAUAUGACUUUCUGAUAAAAGAAAUUCUUAAGUAAAGUUAUUUGGACUCAGAGAUUCUAACUUGAUAACAACCUUAGUCUAUUAAAUAAAAAUAUGCUAAGAUAGGAAGUGUUGCUGAUUUUUUAGGAGUCCAUAACAUUAAUGCCCUGCUCUAUAAGUACUUUGCUAGCCAUUAGAGUAAAAUACUAAAUGUCAAAUAAUAUCCUUUUUAGUCUCAGAUAUGGGUUUGAUUAUACAGUCCCCAAACGGAGACAAACAAACAAAUGACACAAAAUAAUCACGAAUGACAGAAACAAAAGAAGAGUAAAAACGCCAUAGGCAUCCCCAAGCGUUUUUGCUUAUUUUUUUUUGCUAUCCGAUGCGUUCUAAGGAAGACGGUAUGAGAUGUGAUGACUCCAUGCUCGGGUAGUGUUGAGUCUCGAGUGAGACUCGAUUUGCUCCAAGUGCAUAUGCAAAGACAAACAAAUAAGAAUUAGAAGAAAAUGGAAUCCGAUUCUUUAUACUACAUAAGAGAUAAAUAAAGAGGUAAAAAUCAUAAUAUAACUCAUCUCAUAGUAGUUUAUAAUAUGAAACACUCCACAUAAUAUUGUUUUCUUCAAGAAGAAAUAUUAGGUUUGUAUUCAACAGCUCUAGCCAUCAAGGUUCAAUAUUUAACUUAAAUGGCUAAACUUUAUGUCAUGAAAAUAUUAUGACUAAGUUACAAUAUCUACCUAAUACUAUUCAAUUAAACAGUCACCUAUGGUCACUCCUAGAAGCAAAGUAAGUUUCUUAUGAAAAAAAAAUGACUCAGGCUAAACAAAAUGAAUAAGUUAGUCAAGCAUGGGUUAUAUCUUCUAACGAAAUUCAUGAGAUAAUUCUUAUAGCAGUAAAGUAUGAGUCCUACAAUAUCUAGAUUUGACUAAUCCUAGAGUUACAUUUUCUGUUACUUGAAAACAACAAAAGGAAAUGUAUUAGCACUUCAAACAGAACAUGUCUCUUCUCUGAUCUUUAGAAUAAGCAUUUACAUAUUAAUAUUACCUCUUUAAUUACAUAAGCAAUGUUAUACUCAUAGGCAACUUUAUACAUUAAUUCUACCAAAAAUUCUUCUAGCUCAUUGUAAAAUAAAGUAAUAAUUCAAAUUACAUAACUAGAAAGUUAUUUUUUAACAUGGUGAUUUCCAUGGCAUUUAAACUAGAAGAACAACAAACUUGGAAUCAUAUUUUGAAUACGAAACGACCACAAUAAUUAUAGAGUUAACUCAGAGGAAGAAAAGUUUUAGCUAAUAAAUACACGCUAGAUAAAGAUUUUAAACUGAUCACUUUAAUUAAAGAAAGAUACAGAUUGAUGGUAACACCUUAAAGCAAAAAAGGCAUAAUAUUAACAACUCCAUACUAUCAUCAGCUAUCUAUUUAUAUAAAUACUUAGUCAAACUCUUACUUUCGUUUAAAUUUUAUUCGAGCAGAAUAACUAAGUACAUAAUUUCUACACACCAAUUAACUCUAAAUCACAAUUCACACAUACAAUAAACUACAGCUCAUUCAAACAAAAAUACAAUCAUUUUAGAUAUUCAAAGAAGAAGAAAAAAAAUGAGAGAAAAAAAAUACUUCAGUUACUGACCUUUUUGCAGGCAGUGAACUAAGGUUUUUGAGGUUUCAGAUCUACUCCGCGAACAAGAUUGACGGUAGAAUCAGUUUUAACAAAAUGAAGCGAAUUUAAAAUAACAAUGAUUAGUAGUGUUAAGAGAGUAGUAAGAUAGAUGAGAUUUUUAUGGUUCUCCCCGCUUGGCUUCGGCUGAGACUUAGAGAAGUAUUUAUAGGCGAUAAAAAGGUAGGGUUUCUGAAGAGCGGGAACUUGAAAUUUCGAAUUCGAAAUCUUGGUCAACAUAUCCGUUUGAAUCCUAACGUUGGAGGUUUGGACAGACUUCAUCUUCACGUGAUGCUUCAGGUCAUGCCCGAAAUGGUGAAAUUUGGUCUGAUCCUUGAAGAUUCACCACAAAAAGAGAGAUAAAAGAAAACAUCAAGACAAAAAUAUGAGAUAGAGGGAAAUGACACAUGCACAAAAAAAAGAUCUAGCAUAUUCUGAUGUAGAGGAUGGAGAAGAUUGUAUUUUGUUCAUAAGAGGAAAGGAGAGGAAGGGUGGGGGCUGACAAGUCUUGGAAGAAACAAAUGGGACCUAAUUUAUUUCUAGGUUUUGGUUAAG
RNAcentral lists this long non-coding RNA (2325 nucleotides) under Nicotiana tabacum (common tobacco). RNAcentral's name for it is "long non-coding RNA (NTAB_LNC002096)". Lineage: Eukaryota; Viridiplantae; Streptophyta; Magnoliopsida; Solanales; Solanaceae. The record is from RNAcentral.